UACAGAGGUCUCGAGCGUUAGUCGGAAUCACUGGGCUUAAAGCGUACGUAGGCGGAUCUGUAGGCGUCGUGUGAAAUACCUCGGCUCAACCGAGGAACUGCACGGCGAACCACAGUUCUUGAGACAAGUAGGGGCGGUCGGAACGAUAGGUGGAGUGGUGAAAUGCGUUGAUAUCUAUCGGAACGCCGAAGGUGAAGACAGGCCGCUGGGCUUGUUC
This 217-nucleotide ribosomal RNA is filed under the name uncultured prokaryote. Its description in RNAcentral is "partial 16S ribosomal RNA". It matches the Rfam family "Bacterial small subunit ribosomal RNA", at positions 524 to 740 of the family's 1533-position model. The record is from RNAcentral.